UCCGCCCCCCCUUCUUCCCAGUGGCCUUUGGGUGUGUAUAAAAGCCCAGGUGCUUUAUGAAUCCUCAGGAGCAGCGAAAGUGCAAUAUCACGCCUCGUACUGUACAUCACAGGAUCCAGACCUGACCUCCAAACAACCAUGCUGACCAGGAAUAUUCUCAUUUUCUGUGCGCUGACGGUGCUGCUGACUGAAGCCGACCUCGACGCAGUUGACGGGGCUCCACAAGCCAUUUCCACAGAUCAGGACUCCACCUCUGAUGAAGCUCCUACUGGUGAGUCUACAGGCCGGACUGGGAGCACUGGGGGAGCUGGGCCGCGGUUUGGUUAUACGGGGGAAUCUCAGUUAUGUCCUUUAUGUUUAUCUUUACAGAGAGCAUGAACUCCCCCGUCUCCCCCGACCAGCCCAACGGUGAGUACACACACACACACACACACACACACACACACUAACCCUUAACAGAGUUAACAGAGUUAAUCAAGGUAAUGAUGAAACAGUAACAUGUUAUGAUAACAUAGUAUUUGUGUGUGUGUGUGUGUGUGUGUGUGUGUGUGUGUGGCGGCAUGACAAUUUUAAUCUGUAAUAAUUUUCCUUUUGGAUCAAACAAGCUGCAGCA
Molecule: long non-coding RNA, 613 nt
Filed under: Astyanax mexicanus (Mexican tetra)
Lineage: Eukaryota; Metazoa; Chordata; Actinopteri; Characiformes; Acestrorhamphidae
Description: lncRNA (ENSAMXG00005009414.1)
Source: RNAcentral